RNAcentral lists this ribosomal RNA (578 nucleotides) under uncultured Mycobacterium sp. RNAcentral describes it as "bacterial SSU rRNA". It matches the Rfam family "Bacterial small subunit ribosomal RNA", at positions 102 to 694 of the family's 1533-position model. The record is from RNAcentral. Lineage: Bacteria; Bacillati; Actinomycetota; Actinomycetes; Mycobacteriales; Mycobacteriaceae.
ACGGGUGAGUAACACGUGGGUGAUCUGCCCUGCACUCUGGGAUAAGCCUGGGAAACUGGGUCUAAUACCGGAUAGGACCACACACUUCAUGGUGAGUGGUGCAAAGCUUUUGCGGUGUGGGAUGAGCCCGCGGCCUAUCAGCUUGUUGGUGGGGUAAUGGCCCACCAAGGCGACGACGGGUAGCCGGCCUGAGAGGGUGACCGGCCACACUGGGACUGAGAUACGGCCCAGACUCCUACGGGAGGCAGCAGUGGGGAAUAUUGCACAAUGGGCGCAAGCCUGAUGCAGCGACGCCGCGUGAGGGAUGACGGCCUUCGGGUUGUAAACCUCUUUCAGUAGGGGCGAAGCGAAAGUGACGGUACCUACAGAAGAAGGACCGGCCAACUACGUGCCAGCAGCCGCGGUAAUACGUAGGGUCCGAGCGUUGUCCGGAAUUACUGGGCGUAAAGAGCUCGUAGGUGGUUUGUCGCGUUGUUCGUGAAAACUCACAGCUUAACUGUGGGCGUGCGGGCGAUACGGGCAGACUAGAGUACUGCAGGGGAGACUGGAAUUCCUGGUGUAGCGGUGGAAUGCGCAGA